This is a long non-coding RNA of Lathyrus oleraceus (garden pea), 936 nucleotides long. RefSeq lists it as uncharacterized. The record is from RefSeq and is a predicted model, not a curated record. Lineage: Eukaryota; Viridiplantae; Streptophyta; Magnoliopsida; Fabales; Fabaceae. The transcript is spliced from 2 exons.
GUUGCUGACACUUGUUAUCGCCACUCACCAGCCCCAACACGGCCAUCUUAAAAGACAUACCUGGAAAAAGAAACAUCACUUUGAUGAAUCCCUUCUCUCUCUUCAAUCCCCAACAUUCCAUAAGCUCUACAACCCUAAAUAAUUCUGCGGCCGCAACCUACCGGAGAAGACGGUGGUUGUCGGCCAACGACGGCGACGCCACCUUCUUCUCCGGCGAACCCACACCCAAACCAACAAAACCUAAACACUAACCCAUCCUAUUUUUGGUCGAGGAACACGAAUCCGGUCUUAAAUCUAACAAAACAAACUUCCUCUGACUAGAUCGACAUCCAUCCAAAAAAAAAGUCAAAUUCCACAACUUAAAUCACACAGUACAAAACCUAGGCUCAAUCUUCUCCUAAACACGAAACCGGAGCCGAAAUCAACAAAAACACAAACCAAAAGUGAAAACCCUAAUUUCGGAAUUGAAUCAACAAUAACGGAGAUUUUAAAUAAUUACAAAGGGGGUUUCAAUCAGUUCAUCAAGGCGAGCAAGAUGAUGCAAAGAGUUUAAGCAAAGAAAGGAAUAAAAGGGUAUACUUGAUCGGAGUCAAGUCGCCGGCGACGCCUUCUCCAUUAUGUUUGAGAUAAGUCACAGGAUGUUGCUCUCAUGGUAAUUUGCAGGCUUAGCAAGCUCAUAAUAGCAUGGAACAUGGUGCCUUAUAGAAGCCUUUGAAGAUGCAUGACUGAGUCUUUGGAUAUCUUUGUUUUCUUUUCCUGCUUAAAACCCGCUAUAUGUAACUUGUUGUGUACCGUUAUUUACAUGUGCAGUCCGGACAUGAUAUGCAUUUAUGGACUCUACUUUAUGUAAAAUGUUUGUAUAAAGUGGCAACUAAAACAUUCAAAAAAACUCUAAUAUUUAAAUUUGGUGAUUAAAAAGAGUCUAAUCAAUGUUCA